RNAcentral lists this long non-coding RNA (685 nucleotides) under Carica papaya (papaya). RNAcentral's name for it is "long non-coding RNA (CPAP_LNC010765)". Lineage: Eukaryota; Viridiplantae; Streptophyta; Magnoliopsida; Brassicales; Caricaceae. The record is from RNAcentral.
UGCGCAAAGUUAUUCUAACUUCCAUCUACUAAAGGCAAUACGGAUUCAUGACUACCCAUGUGGAAGGACCAAUUCAUUUCAUAUCAUAUAAGCAAUUUGUGGUUUGCUAAACCAUCAACACAUUUUCAGCUUCCCAAAUCAUGAUACGAUCUAUGACUAUGACCGUGUCAGCCACAGUGGUCCUACAUGUAAACUAUAAUCACGGCCGUACAUCACCAAAGGUGACCCCUAAAAUCAUAUCACGUCACCACUCUCGUUAGAGGGUACACCAUCAUCCACAGGGAGCAGUCAUCUUACUUCUUUUCAUACUAGAUAGGGGAGAAACAAAAAUCCCUGAGAGAUAAAAAGUAUAACAAAUCAUGUCAUUUAAAUACCAUACAUGCCAAUAUUAAUAAUUGUUUCUCAUGUUUACGAUAUAAUCAUCAUGCUUCAGCACUUUAUCAUGUCAUCCUGCAUUUUACUUAUUUAUACAUAUAAUAUAAACAUGCAUUAACAUAUAACAUGUGCCCAAAUAAUCAUUACAAUAAUUAAGCAGGAACCAAUCGGUUUAUAUAUGUUAAAUAUUCCAUUUAAUUAAUUUAGAAAUACUCCCUAGAAUGUAAAGAUAAAGACUAAAUUCCAUACCGAAGCUUGAAAAUUUUCCUAUGUCUUUCUUCCUUAUUGUCCUUCCUCUUCUCUCUCUAGC